CAAGGAUCUGCCACUUUGCCUUGAUGUUGCAGUGUCUGGUGGAGACAUCUGGAACCACUGUGGCCAUGUUACUGCCAGGCUGAGGAUGAAAUUAACACUGAGACAGGGAGGAUGGCUGGAAGGAGCCCACUCUGGUGGCAAUGCUCAGUUACCGCAGUGCCAGUCCUGGAGCCUGACCUACCCAUGGGGUUUCUAAUACGAAAGAGAAGCCAGCUCUAUAAUUUCACAAAGUCUCCCCACCUUACUCAUCUCGAGUAGUGACCACCGUGAAUGGUCCCACCGCCAGCCUCUUGGGAGGCAGCCGGGGAAAGCACUCCAUCCUGGGACUUAGGAGCAUGAACUCUGGAGAAACACAGACCUGUGUUCAAAUCCGAGUCCACUGCGUCCUCACAAUGUGAUCUUGGGACACAGAUCCAAUGUGCACAGCAAGGCAUUCAAAUAGCACAAAGGCUAGAUCCUCCAAAGGAAUUUCACCUUCAGCUCUGACUCCCAGUUCCCCAGUUUACCUGUCUGGAGCCACCAUUUAGAAGCUUAUGUAUAUAAAGGUAUGCAGAAGCAGUCCAGGCAGUACAAUCAGCCAAAACUGAUUAUGAAUUCUGGUUAUACAGCUUCCCAGCUGGGGAACCUUGAGCAAUUCAUCCACCUCUCUGGGCCCCGGUUAUGAAUAAAAUAUAAAAGAAAAUGCAGGCCACAUGAGUUUUGCAGAGCAGACGUAGAAAGCAGAGAAUGAAAAAAAGAAAAAGAGGAGAGAUCUGAAGCCAGAAUGGGCGUCAUGCAAGAGGCUCUAGAGUUGCAGACAGUUGCAGCCCAGAUACGACGUGCAAAGAGAGACAUCCCAGAUCUCCCACACAGAACUCCGGCGCGCUUUGAAGUGUUGACAACACAUAAAAUUAAAAGCAUCACAAUGCGAAUUAUCACGUUGUUUUUUCCACUUUGAUAGCCUCUACAAAGCAUUUUAUACCGAUGAAUCAAUACAAAUGUCUCUUUAUAAAGACAUUGGAAACAAAAAGAUACAUUUUUUUUUUUCCUUAAGAGAAACCGACACAACUAACAAAAAGAUUUCAGCCCUGGCUUGCAGGAUAGCUCUAGGUAACAUAGUGAGUUUGUCUCUCCUUUUCACAGUGGCCUUGGAGGUCACUGCUGUCUACUUGCUUGGGUCAAUCAUUCAGCCUCCGGAUGAAUGUUCUGCCUGCUGAUUAGUCAGCACCAUGAGAUGAGACAAACAAGCCACAAUUGCAUUGCUAUUGCCUCCUGACUGCACACACAUGUGUGUGCACAUGUAUAAGAAUAUAUACAGUGUGUGUAAAUAUAUAGAGGCGUGUGUGUGUGUGUGUGUGUAUUUUGUGGUUUGGUAAAAUAAAGCUUGCAAAUUAGGAUUAAUUUAUAACUCGUUAUAAUUGGAUUAUUGGCUGGGACUCCCUUUAUGUUACAGCAGAUGGACUUUUGCGUGAAAUAUUUUCCCUGAGUUGCUAUAGAGAUGUGCCAAGAUCUCUCUGCUGAAGUGAUUCCCCGCAGGCCUGUUUGUUGUUGUGCCCGGUGCCGAAUCACUUGCAGGCUGAAUCACUUACAGCCCUCACAGAGGCUGAUGAAAGAG
This 1594-nucleotide long non-coding RNA is filed under the name Homo sapiens (human). Its description in RNAcentral is "HSALNT0097691". The record is from RNAcentral. Lineage: Eukaryota; Metazoa; Chordata; Mammalia; Primates; Hominidae.